CCCUUAGAUGUUCUGGGCUGCACGCGCGCUACACUGAUGCGUUCAACGAGUGUAUCACCUUGCCCGAUAGGGUUGGGUAAUCUUUUGAACACGCAUCGUGAUGGGGAUAGAUUAUUGCAAUUAUUAAUCUUCAACGAGGAAUUCCUAGUAAUGAUGAAUCAUCAGUUCAUCGUGAUUACGUCCCUGCCCUUUGUACACACCGCCCGUCGCUGCCCGGGACUGAGCCGUUUCGAGAAAAGCGGGGACUGCUGCUGUCGGGGCUUUCGGGCCUUGGCUUCGGUGGAAACCGCUUUAAUCGCAGUGGCUUGAACCGGGCAAAAGUCGUAACA
RNAcentral lists this ribosomal RNA (329 nucleotides) under uncultured eukaryote. Its description in RNAcentral is "partial 18S ribosomal RNA". It matches the Rfam family "Eukaryotic small subunit ribosomal RNA", at positions 1470 to 1796 of the family's 1831-position model. The record is from RNAcentral.